AUGCUGAGCGGCCCAGGAUCACACCCAGUGCACCCACAACUCAGGCAAGUCCAGCAGCCAAUCCUAGGAGACCUGGGCUACAGAACAGUCUCCCAAGUUCCAGGCUCACAAAACGCUCUGAACUCAGACACCUCGAACCUUGUUUUUGUGGUUAAGGAUCCUAAAGUGCUGUGGGGACUGAUCUCGUUUUUCUCAACAUCCCUGACUCCACAUCUUCUGCCACACACGUCAGCAUGGUGGUAUAUGCGGGCCCUUGGUCCAGUAAGAAGGCAGAGAUGA
This 279-nucleotide long non-coding RNA is filed under the name Macaca mulatta (Rhesus monkey). Its description in RNAcentral is "lncRNA (ENSMMUG00000050778.1)". Lineage: Eukaryota; Metazoa; Chordata; Mammalia; Primates; Cercopithecidae. The record is from RNAcentral.